CUUUGAGAAAUGAACCCUUUUGUGAUCCACUUGGAUGAAAAGCUUCAAAAGGCUUCAUCUCACCAUCACUAGAUAAAACGGUAUGUUUAAUUGUGACCAAUGCGUAUUAGAGAAAAACAUUUAUUUCAUAAUUAGAUUUCUCUCCAAUUUUAAAUUCUUCUUCUCCAAUGAAAGGGGAGGCACAAAAUGGGGGGUAAUGUUUUCGAUUUGAAUCAUAGCUGUCAACCCUCCCGUGUUUUCCGGGUUUCUCACGUAUUUUAGCUCUUUUCCUGCUGUCUUCCCGUUUUAGUAUUUUCCCGUAAAAUAUCCCGUAUUUUUACACUCUGAUUUUGUUAACUCAGAACACGCAACUAUCUGUGUCUGUGAAAGUGGCUUGCACUUGGGUUGCUAGACCUCCAGUAAAGCAGGUGGCAGUAUACAGUAGCUUAGGCUACUAUCGAAGAAGAAGACAGUUGCAGCGGCGCCGGCGGGCGGGAGGAAGAGGGAAAAAGUAGCGGGAAGUGAACUUCGAGAGUAGAUGAGUGUGAUGUGCGAUGAUGGAUCAGGACGCCGGCGGCCAAAAUCACUGAGUUAAUCACCAACCAAAACCGAGGACAUUAUGCCGAUAUCUGAGUAAAUGGGAGACCACCUUCCACUACCUGACAAGCAGCCAUGUAGGUCCAAAUUAUGCCUACUGCAAAAUUUGUCGUUGUAAUUUCAGUGUUGGUCAUGGAGGGAAAAACGACGUUUCGCAGCACGACAAAUCACCAUAACACAAGCGCGCGAGUGAGUGAGCUAGGCACACAACAUCAUUAUCAUCAUUCAUGGUGAACCGUGCCUCGUCUGAAGCUGAUCAGAUAUUGAAAGCUGAGGUGAAAAUGUCGAUGCUAAUUGCCUAAUAUAACGUCGCGUUCAGUUUUUUGGACGACUUCAACCGUAGUGUGGCUGACAUGUUCCCGGAUUCAGCGAUUGCCAAGAAAUACACUCUGGGGAAAACGAAGGCUACACAAAUCAUUAAAGGUGCCAUAGCACUGGACAUGGAUGAAGAUGUGACAUCAAUCUGUAAAUCCCAGCCUUUCUCUCUUUUAUGUGAUGAGUCCAACAACAGAAACGCUGAUAAGCAAUUUGUCAUACUUGCAAGGGUAUACAAUGAGGCAAACCUGGAAGUAGCUACAAAGUUUCUAGACAUGCCCACAUGCAAUGUGGGCAAUGCAGAAAAUUUGUUUAACAAGCUGGACAUAACACUAAGGAAUCGUGGCAUUCCCUGGACAAAUCUGAUUGCAUUCAAUUCCGAUAACGCAAGUGUCAUGAAAGGCAGGCACAACUCAGUAAUAAGUAGGGUUAAAACAAACCAGCCUAAUGUGCAAGAUCUCGGCUGCAUCUGCCACCUAGUCCAGCUUGCCACUGGUUGUGGCAUGAAGGCUGCAAAGCUGCCUGUGGAAGCAUACUGGUGGGCAUUUACACCCACUUUGACAAAAGUGCAAAGAGAUGUGAACUCUACAAGGAAUUUGUAGAGUUUACGGAUUCUGACAGCCUGAAACUGCUUAGAUAUUGCAGCACCAGAUGGCUCAGUCUGCUGAGCUGUAUAGAGAGGGUUCUCAACCAGUGGGCUGCUCUUCAGGCAUAUUUUAACAGUCACGAGGGGUUGGAGACGAACACCAAAAUUAGGGAUCUGUCAAAACAUCUCAACGAUCCAUUGAUCAAGGCGUACUUCAAGUUCCUCAGUGUUGCCCUUAAGCCUCUAUCAGACUUUAAUAUUGCCUUUCAGUCAGAGCAAGUACAGAUACACAAGCUGGACAAAGAGAUGACCAGGCUUAUCAAGCGGAUGCUGGGGUGCCUUGUUCCAGCAAAGGCGAUUAUGGAUGUCCCUCUCAAAGAAGUGAACUUUGGAGAGGGACAUCAAUUGGCAGACGAGGACCUCUUCAUUGGAGGGGACACAAAGGCGUUCAUUAGAACUGCAGAGUUCCCUGUUCCAACUAAGAACAAAUUCUUUCAAACUGUGAGAGCUUUCUACGAAGCAGUUUUGCGCAAGAUGUUUGCCUGUUUUCCAAUCGAUUCCCAGCUACUGAAGGACUUGAGAAUACUAGACCCUGGAUCUCGAAUGGAGAUAAGUCCAGACACUGUGUCGAGGCUAGGUGCCCUGUUCCCACAGUUUCUCAUGAAUGAGGAUAGGCUCAGAGAGGAGCUAAUUGAUUUCCAAGUCACUGAUAGCAAAGAUCUCCCACAAGAACCAAGAAUAGACAGGUUCUGGGGCCUUGUAGGAAAGAAUGACAGCUUCACUGAGUUGGCGAGACUUGCAAAGACACUGUUAUGUAUACCACACAGUAACGCAAGCUCAGAAAGGGCGUUUAGCAUGGUGAGCAAGAUUGUUACAUCCAACCGAAUGGCACUGGAUUCCAGCACUGUGUGUGCUUUGCUAUCUUGUAAAAUAAAUCACACUGGUCAGGUUCACCUAUACACUCCCUCACAGAAAGUGUUAAGAAAUGCAAAAUCAGCCACAUAUGUAUACAAUAGGGCUCAUGCUUCACACCAGGAAGGGUGACAAGGUUGUCUUUACUGUCUCUAUCCAUUUGUUCAACUGCCUCUUACACACAUUCUUUCUGUCUAUCUGCCUCUUUCUCUGUUUCUUUCUCACUCUGUCUCACAAAAUUAAGCUAAAACACGUUGUAGCAAAUUAAAAUGUUUAAGUAAUGUUUACCUUGUUCAUAAAUAAAUCACUUUUAACA
Cyprinus carpio carpio is the source of this 2705-nucleotide long non-coding RNA. The record is from Ensembl. NCBI's taxonomy places the organism in Eukaryota, Metazoa, Chordata, Actinopteri, Cypriniformes, Cyprinidae.